GGGUUGUGAGGUUAAGCGACUAAGCGUACACGGUGGAUGCCCUGGCAGUCAGAGGCGAUGAAGGACGUGCUAAUCUGCGAAAAGCGUCGGUAAGGUGAUAUGAACCGUUAUAGCCGGCGAUGUCCGAAUGGGGAAACCCAGUGUGAUUCGUCACACUAUCGUUAACUGAAUACAUAGGUUAACGAGGCGAACCGGGGGAACUGAAACAUCUAAGUACCCCGAGGAAAAGAAAUCAACCGAGAUUCCCCCAGUAGCGGCGAGCGAACGGGGAGCAGCCCAGAGUUUGAAUCAGCUUGUGUGUUAGUGGAACGGUCUGGAAAGUCCGACGGUACAGGGUGAUAGUCCCGUACACCAAAAUGCACAGGCUGUGAACUCGAAGAGUAGGGCGGGACACGUGGUAUCCUGUCUGAAUAUGGGGGGACCAUCCUCCAAGGCUAAAUACUCCUGACUGACCGAUAGUGAACCAGUACCGUGAGGGAAAGGCGAAAAGAACCCCGGCGAGGGGAGUGAAAAAGAACCUGAAACCGUGUACGUACAAGCAGUGGGAGCACCUUCGGGUGUGACUGCGUACCUUUUGUAUAAUGGGUCAGCGACUUAUAUUCUGUAGCAAGGUUAACCGUAUAGGGGAGCCGCAGGGAAACCGAGUCUUAACUGGGCGUUAAGUUGCAGGGUAUAGACCCGAAACCCGGUGAUCUAGCCAUGGGCAGGUUGAAGGUUGGGUAACACUAACUGGAGGACCGAACCGACUAAUGUUGAAAAAUUAGCGGAUGACUUGUGGCUGGGGGUGAAAGGCCAAUCAAACCGGGAGAUAGCUGGUUCUCCCCGAAAGCUAUUUAGGUAGCGCCUCGUGAACUCAUCUUCGGGGGUAGAGCACUGUUUCGGCUAGGGGGUCAUCCCGACUUACCAACCCGAUGCAAACUACGAAUACCGAAGAAUGUUAUCACGGGAGACACACGGCGGGUGCUAACGUCCGUCGUGAAGAGGGAAACAACCCAGACCGCCAGCUAAGGUCCCAAAGUCAUGGUUAAGUGGGAAACGAUGUGGGAAGGCACAGACAGCCAGGAUGUUGGCUUAGAAGCAGCCAUCAUUUAAAGAAAGCGUAAUAGCUCACUGGUCGAGUCGGCCUGCGCGGAAGAUGUAACGGGGCUAAACCAUGCACCGAAGCUGCGGCAGCGACACUAUGUGUUGUUGGGUAGGGGAGCGUUCUGUAAGCCUGCGAAGGUGACCUGUGAGGGUUGCUGGAGGUAUCAGAAGUGCGAAUGCUGACAUAAGUAACGAUAAAGCGGGUGAAAAGCCCGCUCGCCGGAAGACCAAGGGUUCCUGUCCAACGUUAAUCGGGGCAGGGUGAGUCGACCCCUAAGGCGAGGCCGAAAGGCGUAGUCGAUGGGAAACAGGUUAAUAUUCCUGUACUUGGUGUUACUGCGAAGGGGGGACGGAGAAGGCUAUGUUAGCCGGGCGACGGUUGUCCCGGUUUAAGCAUGUAGGCUGGUUAUCCAGGCAAAUCCGGAUAAUCAAGGCUGAGGUGUGAUGACGAGGCACUACGGUGCUGAAGUAACAAAUGCCCUGCUUCCAGGAAAAGCCUCUAAGCAUCAGGUAACAUCAAAUCGUACCCCAAACCGACACAGGUGGUCAGGUAGAGAAUACCAAGGCGCUUGAGAGAACUCGGGUGAAGGAACUAGGCAAAAUGGUGCCGUAACUUCGGGAGAAGGCACGCUGGUGUGUAGGUGAAGUCCCUGCGGAUGGAGCUGAGACCAGUCGAAGAUACCAGCUGGCUGCAACUGUUUAUUAAAAACACAGCACUGUGCAAACACGAAAGUGGACGUAUACGGUGUGACGCCUGCCCGGUGCCGGAAGGUUAAUUGAUGGGGUUAUCCGUAAGGAGAAGCUCUUGAUCGAAGCCCCGGUAAACGGCGGCCGUAACUAUAACGGUCCUAAGGUAGCGAAAUUCCUUGUCGGGUAAGUUCCGACCUGCACGAAUGGCGUAAUGAUGGCCAGGCUGUCUCCACCCGAGACUCAGUGAAAUUGAACUCGCUGUGAAGAUGCAGUGUACCCGCGGCAAGACGGAAAGACCCCGUGAACCUUUACUAUAGCUUGACACUGAACAUUGAGCCUUGAUGUGUAGGAUAGGUGGGAGGCUUUGAAGCGUGGACGCCAGUCUGCGUGGAGCCAACCUUGAAAUACCACCCUUUAAUGUUUGAUGUUCUAACGUUGGCCCCUUACCGGGGUUGCGGACAGUGUCUGGUGGGUAGUUUGACUGGGGCGGUCUCCUCCCAAAGCGUAACGGAGGAGCACGAAGGUUAGCUAAUCCUGGUCGGACAUCAGGAGGUUAGUGCAAUGGCAUAAGCUAGCUUGACUGCGAGCGUGACGGCGCGAGCAGGUGCGAAAGCAGGUCAUAGUGAUCCGGUGGUUCUGAAUGGAAGGGCCAUCGCUCAACGGAUAAAAGGUACUCCGGGGAUAACAGGCUGAUACCGCCCAAGAGUUCAUAUCGACGGCGGUGUUUGGCACCUCGAUGUCGGCUCAUCACAUCCUGGGGCUGAAGUAGGUCCCAAGGGUAUGGCUGUUCGCCAUUUAAAGUGGUACGCGAGCUGGGUUUAGAACGUCGUGAGACAGUUCGGUCCCUAUCUGCCGUGGGCGCUGGAGAAUUGAGGGGGGCUGCUCCUAGUACGAGAGGACCGGAGUGGACGCAUCACUGGUGUUCGGGUUGUCAUGCCAAUGGCACUGCCCGGUAGCUAAAUGCGGAAGAGAUAAGUGCUGAAAGCAUCUAAGCACGAAACUUGCCCCGAGAUGAGUUCUCCCUGAGACUUUAAGUCUCCUGAAGGAACGUUGAAGACGACGACGUUGAUAGGCCGGGUGUGUAAGCGCAGCGAUGCGUUGAGCUAACCGGUACUAAUGAACCGUGAGGCUUAACCUUACAACGCCGAAG
This 2923-nucleotide ribosomal RNA is filed under the name Klebsiella pneumoniae. RNAcentral's name for it is "23S ribosomal RNA". It matches the Rfam family "Bacterial large subunit ribosomal RNA". The record is from RNAcentral. Lineage: Bacteria; Pseudomonadati; Pseudomonadota; Gammaproteobacteria; Enterobacterales; Enterobacteriaceae.